CUGAAAUGUAGGUAUCACUUUUUAAAAGUAUAAUCUCUUCAAACCUUUUUAACUUUUGGAGUUGAGACGGGACAUUCAAGCUGAAAUGGGAAUUAGCAUUCGAUUGGUCCUGAUAUUCAAAGCUUGUUUCGUACGUCCAUUCAAAUCAGGUCCACCACUUGGGUAGACCUUAGGAACUUCCAAAGUGCAAUGGAAGUUGCUUCCCUAGGCCAUGGGCCUCAAUGAUCACCCAUUGACCCCAUCCAGUUUCCGGCCCGGUGAGUGGAGUUGCUUUGCCUAGGAUGACAGGCGCGAGAAAAGUUGGAACGGUGUAAACUCUUUACAGGCAACAUCGCUCCUCAAAAACAUAUGCUCUCCAUCGAGCUUCUAGUUUUCGGAGUUGAGAUUGGGGAAAGUUGAGAAGGGAGCUGUGUUGGUCGGUUCUUUUUCCGCAAAAGAGGUAUCACUUUUUAAAAGUAUAAUCUCUUCAAACCUUUUUAACUUUUGGAGUUGAGACGGGACAUUCAAGCUGAAAUGGGAAUUAGCAUUCGAUUGGUCCUGAUAUUCAAAGCUUGUUUCGUACGUCCAUUCAAAUCAGGUCCACCACUUGGGUAGACCUUAGGAACUUCCAAAGUGCAAUGGAAGUUGCUUCCCUAGGCCAUGGGCCUCAAUGAUCACCCAUUGACCCCAUCCAGUUUCCGGCCCGGUGAGUGGAGUUGCUUUGCCUAGGAUGACAGGCGCGAGAAAAGUUGGAACGGUGUAAACUCUUUACAGGCAACAUCGCUCCUCAAAAACAUAUGCUCUCCAUCGAGCUUCUAGUUUUCGGAGUUGAGAUUGGGGAAAGUUGAGAAGGGAGCUGUGUUGGUCGGUUCUUUUUCCGCAAAAGAGGUAUCACUUUUUAAAAGUAUAAUCUCUUCAAACCUUUUUAACUUUUGGAGUUGAGACGGGACAUUCAAGCUGAAAUGGGGAUUAGCAUUCGAUUGGUCCUGAUAUUCAAAGCUUGUUUCGUACGUCCAUUCAAAUCAGGUCCACCACUUGGGUAGACCUUAGGAACUUCCAAAGUGCAAUGGAAGUUGCUUCCCUAGGCCAUGGGCCUCAAUGAUCACCCAUUGACCCCAUCCAGUUUCCGGCCCGGUGAGUGGAGUUGCUUUGCCUAGGAUGACAGGCGCGAGAAAAGUUGGAACGGUGUAAACUCUUUACAGGCAACAUCGCUCCUCAAAAACAUAUGCUCUCCAUCGAGCUUCUAGUUUUCGGAGUUGAGAUUGGGGAAAGUUGAGAAGGGAGCUGUGUUGGUCGGUUCUUUUUCCGCAAAAGAGGUAUCACUUUUUAAAAGUAUAAUCUCUUCAAACCUUUUUAACUUUUGGAGUUGAGACGGGACAUUCAAGCUGAAAUGGGGAUUAGCAUUCGAUUGGUCCUGAUAUUCAAAGCUUGUUUCGUACGUCCAUUCAAAUCAGGUCCACCACUUGGGUAGACCUUAGGAACUUCCAAAGUGCAAUGGAAGUUGCUUCCCUAGGCCAUGGGCCUCAAUGAUCACCCAUUGACCCCAUCCAGUUUCCGGCCCGGUGAGUGGAGUUGCUUUGCCUAGGAUGACAGGCGCGAGAAAAGUUGGAACGGUGUAAACUCUUUACAGGCAGCGUCGCUCCUCAAAAACAUAUGCUCUCCAUCGAGCUUCUAGUUUUCGGAGUUGAGACUGGGGAAAGUUGAGAAGGGAGCUGUGUUGGUCGGUUCUUUUUCCGCAAAAGAGGUAUCACUUUUUAAAAGUAUAAUCUCUUCAAACCUUUUUAACUUUUGGAGUUGAGACGGGACAUUCAAGCUGAAAUGGGAAUUAGCAUUCGAUUGGUCCUGAUAUUCAAAGUUUGUUUCGUACGUCCAUUCAAAUCAGGUCCACCACUUGGGUAGACCUUAGGAACUUCCAAAGUGCAAUGGAAGUUGCUUCCCUAGGCCAUGGGCCUCAAUGAUCACCCAUUGACCCCAUCCAGUUUCCGGCCCGGUGAGUGGAGUUGCUUUGCCUUGGAUGACAGGCGCGAGAAAAGUUGGAACGGUGUAAACUCUUUACAUGCAGCGUCGCUCCUCAAAAACAUAUGCUCUCCAUCGAGCUUCUAGUUUUAGGAGUUGAGACUGGGGAAAGUUGAGAAGGGAGCUGUGUUGGUCUGUGUUUUUUCCGCAAAAGAGAGUCAUUUCAGUUUACGAUUAUUUUGGUUUUGUUUUGAACCGACCAAAUGCUCACUCCAACUCAUGGAAAAGGAUUCUGGCUGAAGGAAAGUCGUAUGUAUCAGCAUCUAUCUGGCACAGAGGGCUUGCUGUUUGUACCUAUUCUGGUAAUAGAGGUUUCCUUUAACUUUUAGUCACUCCCCUUCCCUUCCUUGACUAGUAGCUGUGGAAGAUUUUUGUUAAAUUAUAAGUUUCAGCUGUCUGAUAUUCAAUCGGACUGAGAGCCUUUGGACUAGUUAGCCGUAACUGGUACAAGACUAAAUCUUAUCUGUGUGUGUUUGUAUGCAUCGUAUUACUGUAUCUUGUUGCUAUGUCAUGUAAUGCACAAGUAUGUAAGAAGCAUUAACUGUCUAUGUUUAGACUUGUCUUGAGUUUACUUUCUUAUCUGAGGUAUGAAUUAAUGUUUUGCUGCAUGUAUUUGUGGUUACUAAUCCAAGGACUGGUCUUUGCUAGGUUUUUUUUCUUCAAGUUGCUGCCCCCUCCAGUUCACCGUAGUAGACAUGCCAGUCAAAUAUUCUGAAACAUCUCUAUUUGUAUUUGGAUAAAAAUUUAAACCCUAAUGAGUUGAAAUUGCGUGUUUUAUAACGGAUUUGAAACCUGUCUUCCGAGUUUAGGACUUUGUUAGAAAGUGUUUUAUGUUGGACCAUUUUGGAUCUGAAUUGUUUUGAUCUCUUACA
Daucus carota subsp. sativus is the source of this 2867-nucleotide long non-coding RNA. RefSeq lists it as uncharacterized. Lineage: Eukaryota; Viridiplantae; Streptophyta; Magnoliopsida; Apiales; Apiaceae. The record is from RefSeq and is a predicted model, not a curated record. The transcript has 16 exons.